GUAGAAGUGACGUGCAAGGCCGGUGACAAGACAGUGAAGGCAUACGGGAAGACCAAAAUCAACGGUAAAUACGCAAUAACCGUUAAGGGAUACAACUACCGUAAAUACGGUGGCGAAGUCUGCACGGCCAAACUCCACUCGCCACCUAAGGGAUCGCCGUGUAACAUUCCUACAAGUUACCAUUUGGGUAACAAAGGUGCUAAACUCCAUGUGAAAUCAAAGACAAAGUACGAGGUUGUGCUCUAUGCUAAGUCCUUUGCUUAUGCACCUAAGAAACCUUACGGAGAAUGCCACAAGCCGGCUCCUUACCAUCCUCCUUACUACUACAAGUCUCCACCACCACCUUCUCCGGUUUACUACUACAAGUCUCCACCACCACCAACUCCAACUUAUGUCUAUAAAUCACCGCCUCCACCAACCCCAGCGUAUGUCUACAAAUCGCCUCCUCCUCCUACCCCAACAUACGUCUAUAAAUCUCCUCCACCACCAACUCCGACUUACGUCUACAAAUCACCACCACCGCCUACUCCAACGUAUGUGUAUAAGUCUCCGCCUCCACCAACCCCUACGUAUGUCUACAAGUCGCCCCCACCACCAACUCCAACCUAUGUUUACAAAUCACCGCCUCCUCCUACUCCGACCUACGUCUACAAGUCGCCGCCUCCUCCUACCCCAACUUAUGUUUACAAGUCGCCACCACCUCCAACACACACUCCUACACCAUACUACUACCAUUCUCCACCACCACCAGUUAAAUCUCCUCCACCUCCAUAUUAUUACCAUUCGCCACCACCACCCGUAAAAUCUCCACCACCGCCAUAUUAUUAUCAUUCACCACCCCCUCCGGUGAAAUCUCCUCCUCCUCCUUACUACUACCACUCUCCACCCCCUCCGGUGAAGUCUCCUCCUCCACCUUACUACUACCAGUCACCACCCCCUCCCGUAAAGUCACCACCACCACCAUAUUAUUACCAUUCACCACCUCCUCCGGUCAAAUCUCCUCCUCCACCCUACUAUUACCAUUCACCUCCUCCACCGAUGAAAUCUCCACCACCACCAUACUACUACCACUCACCACCUCCUCCAGUCAAAUCUCCUCCUCCACCGUACUAUUACCAUUCACCUCCUCCACCGGUGAAAUCUCCACCACCACCAUACUACUACCAUUCACCACCUCCUCCUGUCAAAUUUCCUCCACCAUACUAUUACCACUCACCACCCCCACCGGUCAAAUCCCCUCCACCACCUUACUAUUACCAUUCACCACCCCCACCGGUCAAAUCUCCUCCUCCACCAUACUACUACCACUCACCACCUCCUCCGGUGAAGUCUCCGCCACCGCCAUACCAUUACAACUCUCCACCACCAGUAAAAUCUCCCCCACCUCCAGUAUACAUCUACGCCUCUCCUCCACCUCCUACCCAUUACUAGGCUCAUCAAAUUCAGCCACAUUCCCCCAUUAUUCAAGUAAAGACCCAACGCUUCAACAUUUUCAAUAUGCUCCAUAUCCAUAUCGAUAGAACUUUGUCUCAUUAUCUCAAUUUCUUCUUCG
Molecule: long non-coding RNA, 1552 nt
Filed under: Brassica napus (rape)
Lineage: Eukaryota; Viridiplantae; Streptophyta; Magnoliopsida; Brassicales; Brassicaceae
Description: long non-coding RNA (BNAP_LNC013102)
Source: RNAcentral